Molecule: long non-coding RNA, 1387 nt
Organism: Rattus norvegicus (Norway rat)
Lineage: Eukaryota; Metazoa; Chordata; Mammalia; Rodentia; Muridae
Source: Ensembl
GGAGGCGCGAGUUUGAGCGCCGCGCGCGCGCCGCUCUCCUCUCUGCUUUUCCCCGUUCCCUGGCGGCCCGCCCCCUCGGGCUCCCGCCAACCUCAGGGGCCUCGGCCUAGGGCCCCAGCACCCGCCCCUCGGAUGGGGUCUGUGCUCGCAAAAGGGAGGGCACGCCCUGUUUCUACAUCGAGAUAGGCGGAGGCGAAGGACCGCAACGAACACAUAGGUGGCAGAUGGAACAGAUAAAGGUGCGGCCUUGUGGAGUAGGUGUGGCCAUGGAGGAAUUGCAACACUGUAGAAGCAGCUUUUGAGGUCUCCUAACUCCAGUGUGGCUCCCAGUCUCCUCCUGCUGCCUGGGGAUCCAGAUAUAGACCUCUCCUCCUCCAGCACCGUCUGCCUGCACUCUGCCAUGCUUCCUACCAUGACAGUAAUGGACUGAACCUCUGAAACUGUAAGCCAGCCCCAAUUCAGUGUUUGCCUUUAUAAGAGAUGCCUUGGUCACGGUGUCUCUUCACACCAAUAAAAUCCAAACUAAGACACCAGACCUUUCAGUGGUGGUUGUUGUUGUUGAGACAAGGUCUCUCUACAUAGAUCUGGAUGUCAUAGAACUGGCUGUGUGACCUGUACCUGCAGAUCUGUGCCUGCCUCUGCCUCCUGAAUGCUGGGAUUUAAGGCAUAUGCCACCAUAACUCUUGCUGCCUAGAACUGGCUGCCUAGACCUCACUGGCUACUACCUCCCUCUGCCUUGAGUGCUGAUUGCAGGUUUAAGCAACUACUCUUCAUUUCUUCAGUCUUUCGAGAUACAAGACCAUCUUCUUUUUUUAAGUAUUAUUUAUUUAUUUUUAUGUAUGUGAGUACACUGUAGCUAUCUUCAGACACACCAGAAGAGGACAUCAGAUCCCAUUACAGAUAGUUGUGAGCCGCCAUGUGGUUGCUGGGAAUUGAAGUCAGGUCCUCUGGAAGAGCAGUCAGUGCUCUUAUCCACUGAGCCAUCUCUCCAGCCCCCAUUGGUGCUUACCCCAAUGGUGCACAAUCAGUAGUUGUACAACCCUGAGACUCUGCCUCAAAACAAAUCAAAAGAACAUUUCCAGCCAGACAGCAUUGGCGUACAUCUGUGAUCCCAACUGUGAAGGAAAGCUCCUGAAAAGAAGCCGUAUGUGCAGAGACUGAUGAGACCUUCAGUACUGUGGAAUACUUGAAAUGCUACAGCUCCAGAGGGUGAUCACCUUAGUCUUGGCAACCUUUAGCCUCCAGAACAGCUAUGCCUUGUCUACCUCUGCACAGAAACCAACAUCCUGUAGCUAACAGAUAAAGACUCUUUGGAAUUUAUUAAAUGUAGUGGACUACUAGUUUAGAUCAAUCAAAAUGCUAGAAAUGUUCUCAUGCAGCAUCUUGG